UUUCGACCCAGUGCUAAUUUUCGACCCAUUGAUAAAACAAACGUUAUUUUAACUACUAUUUGAAAUUUUCAAACAUUUAUAAAUCACUGGAAUAUGCCAUUGCAGUUAAAUCUAUCAUGAUCCAAUAAAAAAUGCAUCUAUGUAACGGAGUUUUAAUCCUAAAUUGAUAAAUCCUGAUUUUCUUGUGUCUGAAUCAGUCCUUUUUCUUCCAUUGAUGAAAAUUCGUCACAUAUUGAAAAGGCUCAAAUCAGUAUAAAAACUGAUCAAAGUGAUGCCUAAUCGAUAAAGUUUGGUGAAACCUGAUAAAAUUUAAGCAAAUUGUAAUUAAUUUUGUGCAUCUAUAAAUGAAAAUAAAUUUUAUUACGCGUUUGAAAUUGUUCGAAAAUUGAAACACCAGGUUUCAAUUUUCGACCGAUCGAAAAAGCAUGCCAUGAUUUCAGCAGGUGAUGUGUUUUAGUUUUCGACCCUUCAUCAAAAGUAAACAUCGUUCAUAGUGGUGGUUGUUCUUUCGUGGAGUUGAAUUUCUUGCUUCAACGGUUUUGAACCAAAACGGUAAGAAAAAUACUGAUCUUGCUUCAAUUUUAUCAAAAUUAUAUGGAUUAACAUAUUAUAGCGCCCAGAAAAGUACAGACAAGUCUACGCAGUAGCCGACAUCCAGCAAAUAGCAUCUAAGAUUAGCGAAGAAAUAUCUAUCAGUCCGUUAUUCGUCCUGGACCGACCAUAAUGGAGGAGGAGACCGAAUUUGAAGAGUUGAUAUUCGGCAGUCAGCGACGGGGAUGGCUAGUGAAAUGUGACUCAAUGUUGGAGCAUGUUGAAGGGUUUCUUGAUACUGCUGAAAGGCAAAACUAUUUUAAAGACAACCAUCCAGGUGAAUUGAUAGAGCAAGAUAAAUAAUAUCGCAAUAUUCUUAGAAAGGAGUUGAAGAGAGAAUCCGAAAUGAAGAAACAAGACCACGCUGAAGCAAAACGAUUCGAGCAAAAUUUGUAGUGAAAAAAAAGGAAAACAAUGUACCGAAAUGACCCAUAAAA
Long non-coding RNA from Aedes aegypti (yellow fever mosquito), 1028 nucleotides. RefSeq lists it as uncharacterized. The record is from RefSeq and is a predicted model, not a curated record. NCBI's taxonomy places the organism in Eukaryota, Metazoa, Arthropoda, Insecta, Diptera, Culicidae. The transcript is spliced from 2 exons.